GAGCGAACGCUGGCGGCAGGCUUAACACAUGCAAGUCGAGCGGGCGUAGCAAUACGUCAGCGGCAGACGGGUGAGUAACGCGUGGGAACGUACCUUUUGGUCCGGAACAACACAGGGAAACUUGUGCUAAUACCGGAUAAGCCCUUACGGGGAAAGAUUUAUCGCCGAAAGAUCGGCCCGCGUCUGAUUAGCUAGUUGGUGAGGUAAUGGCUCACCAAGGCGACGAUCAGUAGCUGGUCUGAGAGGAUGAUCAGCCACAUUGGGACUGAGACACGGCCCAAACUCCUACGGGAGGCAGCAGUGGGGAAUAUUGGACAAUGGGCGCAAGCCUGAUCCAGCCAUGCCGCGUGAGUGAUGAAGGCCCUAGGGUUGUAAAGCUCUUUUGUGCGGGAAGAUAAUGACGGUACCGCAAGAAUAAGCCCCGGCUAACUUCGUGCCAGCAGCCGCGGUAAUACGAAGGGGGCUAGCGUUGCUCGGAAUCACUGGGCGUAAAGGGUGCGUAGGCGGGUCUUUAAGUCAGGGGUGAAAUCCUGGAGCUCAACUCCAGAACUGCCUUUGAUACUGAGGAUCUUGAGUUCGGGAGAGGUGAGUGGAACUGCGAGUGUAGAGGUGAAAUUCGUAGAUAUUCGCAAGAACACCAGUGGCGAAGGCGGCUCACUGGCC
This 663-nucleotide ribosomal RNA is filed under the name uncultured bacterium. RNAcentral describes it as "bacterial SSU rRNA". It matches the Rfam family "Bacterial small subunit ribosomal RNA", at positions 27 to 734 of the family's 1533-position model. The record is from RNAcentral.